GCCUACGGGAGGCAGCAUGUGGGGAAUCUUAGACAAUGGGGGCAACCCUGAUCUAGCCAUGCCGCGUGAGUGAUGAAGGCCCUAGGGUUGUAAAGCUCUUUUGUGCGGGAAGAUAAUGACGGUACCGCAAGAAUAAGCCCCGGCUAACUACGUGCCAGCAGCCGCGGUC
RNAcentral lists this ribosomal RNA (169 nucleotides) under uncultured Bradyrhizobium sp. RNAcentral's name for it is "partial 16S ribosomal RNA". It matches the Rfam family "Bacterial small subunit ribosomal RNA", at positions 337 to 522 of the family's 1533-position model. The record is from RNAcentral. Lineage: Bacteria; Pseudomonadati; Pseudomonadota; Alphaproteobacteria; Hyphomicrobiales; Nitrobacteraceae.